Molecule: ribosomal RNA, 283 nt
Filed under: Foraminifera environmental sample
Lineage: Eukaryota; Foraminifera
Description: partial Bacterial small subunit ribosomal RNA
Rfam family: Bacterial small subunit ribosomal RNA
Source: RNAcentral
AAAGAUUAAAGUCGCUGAAAGAGAGGCUCUUGCCCGAUUAGAUAGUUGGUGAGGUAAAGGCUCACCAAGUCGAAGAUCGGUAGCCGGUUUGGAAGAACGGUCGGCCGCGAUGAAACUGAGACACGGUUCAUACUCCUACGGGAGGCAGCAGGGAGGAAUUUUGGACAAUGAAGGAAACUUUGAUCCAGUGAUACUGCGUGAAUGAUGAAGGCCUAUGGGUCGUAAAAUUCUUUUAAUAGCUAAGAUAAUGACGUUAACUAUUGAAUAAAUUCUGUCUAAUUCU